CAUCCCGCUGACCGCCUUAGAGAUAAGGCUUUCCCUUCGGGGACAGCGGUGACAGGUGGUGCAUGGUUGUCGUCAGCUCGUGUCGUGAGAUGUUGGGUUAAGUCCCGCAACGAGCGCAACCCUUGAUCUUAGUUGCCAGCAUUCAGUUGGGCACUCUAAGGUGACUGCCGGUGACAAACCGGAGGAAGGUGGGGAUGACGUCAAAUCAUCAUGCCCCUUAUGACCUGGGCUACACACGUGCUACAAUGGACGGUACAAAGGGCAGCCAACCCGCGAGGGGGAGCCAAUCCCAGAAAACCGUUCUCAGUUCGGAUUGCAGGCUGCAACUCGCCUGCAUGAAGCCGGAAUCGCUAGUAAUCGUGGAUCAGCAUGCCACGGUGAAUACGUUCCCGGGCCUUGUACACACCGCCCGUCACACCACGAGAGUGGUAACACUGGAAGUCGGUGAGGUAAC
Molecule: ribosomal RNA, 454 nt
Filed under: Planomicrobium sp.
Lineage: Bacteria; Bacillati; Bacillota; Bacilli; Caryophanales; Caryophanaceae
Description: bacterial SSU rRNA
Rfam family: Bacterial small subunit ribosomal RNA
Source: RNAcentral